This 1328-nucleotide long non-coding RNA is filed under the name Sinocyclocheilus anshuiensis. RNAcentral's name for it is "lncRNA (ENSSANG00000007422.1)". Lineage: Eukaryota; Metazoa; Chordata; Actinopteri; Cypriniformes; Cyprinidae. The record is from RNAcentral.
AGAGCUUAUGAUUACAGCACCAAUGCAAACAAACAGUCAGUGGGGUUCUCAAAUGAACAUGAAUUGCUCAGUGUACGAACCCACACCUCGUUCGAUUGCCCAACCCCCUCCUGUUAGUAGACCGCUGCAGAGAGGAAGCUGGCAGACAGGAAGCACCUCCAGCACUUCUAGUAUGUAAUAAAUAACUUCUUUAAUCUCACACAAUAACAUCUGAUAUAACUGUGAACAGAACCAUGUUUACAAGUAUGGUGUGUUUCUACAAUGUAAUUGUGAAGGUUUGACCUGUGCAGGUAGUAGCAGUCACAGAUUGAGCAUUCAGAGCACCGUCAGCAACAGCAGUGAGGUGGAAGGUGAAUGUGAGGAGCCUCCGGACAUUCCACUUCCUCCACGGCCUACCCGGCCCGUAGUGGAUACUCCACCAGUGCUCCCUCCACCCAGGGUCCCACCACGUGUAAUAGAGAGGAAUCCAGACAUACUAAACGAGCGAUAUGUAUCGACUCCAUCCCGUCCUGUUCAUCAGACGCCUGCGCAAAGGUCCAUGCCACCUCCACCUAUACCGAGACGCACAUGGUGAAGGCCUGCUUCAGCAUGGCUGGCUUUCGUUCUGUUUGACUCUGCACUUUUCUUGUUGAGCCUUUGAGAUCUGUAAGUCUCUUCAAGGUGGAACAGAAACUACUGGCUGUGUCCGAAACUGAAGACGGCUCAUUUCCUCCCCUACACUGUAAAAAAAAUUCUGUAGUUUUUACAAAAUAAUUUUGGCAGCUGUGGUUGCCAGAAUAAUUUUGUAAAAAAUACAGAAAAACUGUAAACACAUUUACGGCCAAAAACUGUAAAUUUCACAGUAAAAAACUGUAAUUUACAAACAAGAAAAUUUGAAUGUAAACCAGUAAAUUCAACAAUGCACACUGCUAUUAAAAUCUGUUUUGUACCUUUAACAUACUGACAACCACCAUAAUAAUGCAGGUGGUAAAAGAGAAAGCCACAUGAAGAAUCAAAGCUCAUCACAAGUAGCUUCGCCACAAGCAGAAGUAUAUACUAAUAUAUAGAAGGUGCACAGAGUCAUUCAUGCAAACACAAAACACCAUCAUGGUAACACACAUGAUACUUAAAUAAUGCAUUAAACUUUCAUUAAACAACAGAAGAUGUAACAUAAAGCCCAAAUAUACAUAACUAAUAACAAAAACUAUUAAAAAAACAUGAUUAUUUAAACAAAAUACCUUAAAAUGUGGAGUGUCAUGCAGGGAAUUCGGGGUAUAUCAGUUUACAGUUUUUGACUGUAAAUUAUACAUUGAUUUGUUAUUUUUCCUUCUAAAAACUGUCAAAUUAAC